This 6140-nucleotide long non-coding RNA is filed under the name Setaria viridis. RNAcentral describes it as "long non-coding RNA (SVIR_LNC000961)". The record is from RNAcentral. Lineage: Eukaryota; Viridiplantae; Streptophyta; Magnoliopsida; Poales; Poaceae.
CAAAGCCGGCCCCCUUUGCCGAGUGCCUCGCGCCUGGCACUCGGCAAAGACCCCUUGUUUGCCGAGUGCCUUUCCCCUAGCACUCGGCAAACAAGCUUUCCUCCACCUGGGAAAUGCCCCUUUGCCGAGUGUUAAGGCCAAAACACUCGGCAAAGGCCCCUCUUUGCCGAGUGUAACACUCGGCAAAGUGAUCAGAACCCCCCCUUUUCCGACGUUUUGCCACGUAUAACGGACCCCUCUCAAUUCACAAUACAGAUAUCACAGGCAUUUGUAAUAAACAACCACAUGGAUAAUUCACAACCACAGGCAUAAUUCAUAAACACCACAGGCAUAAUUCAACAUAAGCACGAAAUAAUCCAUAAAUCCAAGUUGUUGUCACAAUUUAGUUUCCACAUUGUUCACAACCAAGUCUACUUCCGUGGAGGCCAAGGAGACCACUGCGACAAAUCUUGAUCUCCAUUAUUCGAAGCCGCCGAUUGAUUCUGCGCAUAGGAUAGGACAUUCUGAGGUAACAUCUAAAGUUGUCAAAUUUAAAGUAUUAAAUCUUAAGCACAAUGUGUCAAGUGACUCACAGGAGUAGUCGUGGGUGGCUGAGGCGGAGCGAACAUCAUCGGCGGUGGCGGAGGCAAAGACUGUCCCAUGCUCGAAGCAAAGUUCUGCAUGUACUGGAACAUCUGCUCCAUCCUAAUCCGGUUUUCCUCCUCCAUCCUCCGCCGCAUUUCCUCCAUCUGCGCCUCCAUCUGCGCCUUAAUCUCCUCUUGUUUCUUCCUUGAUUCUUCCACCUGGGCCUACAAUAUUUCAUUGCAAUGUUAUAAUGCAAAGCUAAAGUAUAACAACAAACGAACGAUGAAUGGAAGAGAAAGAACCUGUAGAGCCUCCAUCUGGAACUGUGCAGUGGUGGGUCGUGGCCGUACCACCGGGCUCGAGUCCGUGCUCCUAGCUCGGAUCUGGGAGAGAGUGGGAGUAGAGGCCGUGUCGAUGACGCCAUCGCCAAUCCAAUAUCGGCCAUGCUUCUUGCCUCCUCCCACCCUCAUCACGAUUUCUCCAUCAAUGUCCUCGGAGCUCGGAUCGAAGUCUGGCCCGUGAACCUCCCUAGCCAUCUUUGUAUACUCGCUGACGCGGCUGUGUAUGCUAGGGUGGCUGUACGCCUCGGACGGGUCGUCUGGGUUGAAAUCUAUAUCGGCCAUCGCCUUGCCCUUUUUGGAGAGGACCCAUGCCUUGAGCUGGGAGCAAGGUCGGCCAUCAUGUGACGCCGACUGCGGCAAAAUACAAAAUCAUUAAAAAUUACGUAGCAUUGAACGUUACAAUAAAGAAUUGAAGUUGCGUACCCAUUUUUCUCUAUAUUCAUCAAGGCUUAGGCUGCCUUGAUGGUGUGGUGCAGUCGGCAUCUGCAAACGCCGCUGCCGGCAAGCAAGGUGGUUCUCCAACCACCCGGGCUCCAACCACACGUCGACCAUCCUCUCCCAGCACGGCAUAUGCGCACGACACCACCACGGAGGCACCUACAUCAUCAAGCGUGUGACGUAUGAAAAAGAAAAUGAGCCUAAUUAAUCAUAAAUAGUAAGCAUCAACGUUCUUUACUUACCCUCAUGAAUUGGUCCUUAGUCAUGUUCAUUGUUCUUGCCUCCUCUUUUCUAACCUUCAUAUGUCUGUAUUGAGCGUGGAAUUCGAUGAUGGCCUAGAUGCGCGCCUCGUAAUGCAUGUCCCUCACGAGCUUCUUGGCGGCUACAUCACAGACGGCCUUCGCCUUGGCCUCGAACCCCUCCUGGCAUCUAUAGAAGUCCUGCAUAUACACGUGUAUACAGUUAUUAUUUCAAGAAUGUCAAAAGUAGGUGAUGUAUUGAGCAAUUUAGUACGAGAAGUACUUACCCACAGCUCGGCCUUGACCCGCUCCGCUAUGUUGGGGAAUCUUCUCUGUUGACGAUCAGGGACGUUGGGGGCGGCGACGUAGUGGUCCCACGUGUAGGCCGGCUGCUGCUGUCCGGCGUACACCACCAAGCCAGGGAAGUGAACCCUGCACAAAAGGCCAAGGAUCCCGUUGGCCUUACGGUUGUGGUCACCCCCACUGAGCUUAAUCCAACUCCUGCACAAGUCAUUAAUAUGAGUUAUUAGUUUUUGUAACUUUCAACAAAAGAACAAUAUUAAGAAUAUUUAAAGUUACUUACUUGGUCCCAACCGGUUUAAUCAGCGGGCGUAAAUGCUCAGGUAUCGGCCUCUUCGGGAGGGAUGAGGGACCUCGCAACCAUAUCUUGGACUGGGCAUCCCCUGCCUCCCCGUCCCCCUCCUGCUCCUGCUGCUGCUCCUCCUCCGCCUCCUCGUCCCCAGAGGCGUGUGCGGAAGGUACCUCCUCCUCCUCCUCCUCCUCCUCCUCCUCCACCUCAGGUUCAGGCGACGGGGGCCUCGCCGCUUUACCCUUCCCCCGAGGCCUCUGGACCACCUCCUCCUCCUCCUCCUCAACCCUACGUCGAGGUCUGCCUCGACGCCUCCCUCGACUGCUCCCUGAACGUGACCCUGACCCUGAACCAGUCCCUGCCGCGGCCAGUCUCUCGCAAAUCGACGUGAGCUUCCUCAUACCGCCCACCAUUGCUUAAUGACCUGCAAUUAAAAAGAGUACACGAGUCAGCAUAGGCAAACAAAACAUAAUUACAAAGAUAUGCAAAUUAUAAUUAAAUUAUAACUAAAUUAGUACGAAUCAUACAUGUAUUAGAAAUAAUCAUCAUGAUCGGGAUUAGCUGGAUCAUAAGUCUCAUCAUCACUAUCACGUGUGUCGAUAUAGUCAAGCUCGUGCUCCGAAGAAGGAAUGUCGUCAUCACUGUCAUUAGCUAACUGUAAUCGUUGAAGUAAUUCUAAGUCCUUCACAUUCUGAACCUCGUCUCCACCGUCCUCUGCAGCAACCCUCUCGUUGUCUACUUCCAUUCCGAUCGCUUCGGUUAAAUCUAUCACAAAACUCCCUUCGAGCCCAUCUUCUUGGAAUAACUCUCCUUCGUACGUGUCGGGGUCUAUAUUGUAAUCUUCAUUGUUUGGUACAUGUAGUUUACCGUGUGGCGAUACCUUGUACACAACAUCCCAACCCUUAAGACGGCUGUCGGUUUGGCACGGGUAUGACAAAUAAUAAACUUGCGUGGCCUGUUGAGCCACAAUAUAGACAUCGUCUCCUGGUAACCUGGAUGACUGUCGAAUUUCGACUAGCCCAAGGUUAGGGGCCCAUCUCACGACAGAUGGAUCAAACCAAUGGCAUUUGAAUAUAACUGGAUUAAGAGGUUUGCACCCAUAAAAAGUGAGUUCGUAUAUUUCUUCAAUUCUUCCGUAGUACUCGACCCCAUCGGAGCCUGGCGUGAAAACUCCAGUAUUUGUGGUUCUUCGAUUGGGCCGACUCUGCUCGUGCCUUGUUGUGUGAAACCUAUAUCCGUUGACGUCAUAACCGGCAAACGACCUGACCCUAUAGUCACAGCCAUCGGCAACCUGUCUCAACUCGACAUUCAUAGACGCAUCGGUUCGGCCCUGCAAGUUCAAACAGGGCGGUUCGUUAUAUUAAUCGUAUGCACGAGAACGAGAAUGUUCGAAGAAAUGAAAUUGUACCUUCUGUUUGAACCAAGAAAUGAAAUCGGGCAUUCCAUUUCCCGCACCCUCUUUAAGAAGAGUCUCAGCUUCGUGCGGGUACGGUUGCCUUGAUUUACGCCAAAAUUGACGAUGAAAUUUCCUAUACCAACGAGAAAGAUACGUUUAGGCAAGAGAUACCAUUACUACGUCGAAACAAGUUCGUCGAUGACUUACAUCAUGUACGGCUCCACUUCAGAUAGGUUGGUCAACACAUACAGCAUGAUAGAGCGCCACUCUUCAUGGUUAAGGGUCUUGCGGGUCGCACCACUUGCACUUCCGAGUUGCCCUCGGAAAAUGCUAAGGCUUAAUUCAUCUUCGCUGGCAUUGUAACGAGGAGGUGGAUUAUGCACGCUAGGAAGGUUGUCAGCGUAGUAUUUCGAUGUGAAGUUUGACACCUCCUCCAGAAUGUAUGCCUCUGCAAUGGAUGCUUCAAUUUUGUACUUAUUCUUACAUUUAGUUCGAAGAACCUUUUGACAUCUCUCAAUUGAGUAGCACCAACGACCCUGCACAGGCCCCCCCAUUCGUGCUUCAUACGGGAGGUAUAGAAUCAUAUGCUGCAUUGGAUUGAAGAAGCCUGGAGGAAAGAUCUUCUCCAACUUACAGAGCAACACAGGCGCCAUUGUUUCCAUUUCUGCAACCACGGUACGAGAUAACUCCUUCGCACAAAGCCGGCGGAAGAAAUUGCUAAACUCCGCUAGCACCUGCCACACAUGCUCAGGGACAUAGCCUCGAACCAUCACCGGAAGUAGGCGCUCAAGCCAUAUAUGGUAAUCAUGACUCUUGAGCCCGUUGAUUCUCAUAGUUGCUAAAUUCCACAAGCACGACUUGCCAGCUCUUGGAGGCGCCAUGUUUAGCUGUGGUUUGUUGCACAAUGUCGCUUGAUCCACUCUAGCCUUAACGUUAUCCUUUGUCUUGUUAGGAAUGUCCAUUAUUGUACCAAAAACUGCCUCGGCGAUAUUUUUUUCCGUGUGCAUUACAUCAAUGUUAUGUGGAACAAGGAGAUCAUCAAACUAGGGAAGUUUCCACAAGCACGACUUCUGCGUCCAAGCAUGUUGCUCGCCAUAUCCCAAAAAACCACCUUCCUCAUUAUUAACCUCAAGAGCGUCUAACUGAGCACGAAUUGCGGCCCCUUUCAUCAUCGGCGGUGCGGGGGCUGUAACUACAACAUCUUUGGUAAAGUUCUUGAUGUCUCGUCUAAAUGGAUGGUCAGGAGGGAGGAAUUGUCGAUGUUUGUCGAACGAAGAAUAUUUGCCACCUUUCGACAACCAAAUGAACUUCAAAGAUGCUUUACAUACUGGGCAUGGGAACUUCCCGUGAACACACCAUCCGGAGAAAAUCCCAUAUGCCGGCAAGUCAUGCAGUGAGUACUGGUACCAAACAUGCAUCUUGAAGUUUGUCUUUGUGGAUCGGUCAUAGGUCCAUACCCCUUCCUCCCAAGCACGGAGCAAAUCAUCAAUCAGAGGCUCCAUAUACACACUCAUAUUAUUCCCCGGAUGCUCUGGAAUUAUCAAUGACAAGAAUAUAUUAUGUCGUUGAAAUAGGACGCCGGGUGGGAGAUUCAGGGGGAUAGCGAAAAUGGGCCAACAGGUGUACGGGGCGGCUACCAUUCCAUAAGGAUUGAACCCAUCAGUUGCCAACGCAACGCGUACGUUACGGGCCUCUAGAGCUUUUGCAGGAUAAAUCGCAUCAAAGCUUCUCCAGGCUUCAGCAUCGGAUGGGUGUACCAGCUUCUCAGGAUUAUAGCGAUGGCCAUUUUUGUGCCAUGUCAUCUGUUUCGCGGAUUCUUCAGUCAUGAAAAGCCGUUGGAUCCUCGGUACGAAAGGAAGAUACCGUAGAACCUUCACAGGAAUUGUGAGCUGCUUUUUCUGACCGUCACCAUAGUCAACCUCCAGAAAUCUAGACGAUUCACACUUCACACAGUAUUUUGCUUCCGCAUACUCUUUCCUAAAUAAGAUGCAUCCCUUCGGGCAAGCAUGUAUAUGCUCGUAUGGCAUCUUAAGUGCACGAAGGAGUUUCUGUGCCUCAUACAUGCUCUUUGGCAAGAUGUGACCAACCGGGAGCAGGCUUCCAAAAACUGUCAACAUAAUAUCAAACGCGUCUCGACUCAAACUAAACUGAGACUUCACAGCCAUUAGCCGUGCAAUGGCAUCUAGCUGAGAAACCUUGGUAUGGCUGUGAAGGGGUUGCUGUGCCGCAGACAACAUUUCGUAAUAAGCCUUAGCGGUAGCCUCUGGCUCCUCCUCCCUACGUGCCUCUUCGAGGUGUGCUUCAUGAUAGUCAUUUAACAUGUCUCCCACCCCGGCAUCAUCAUCAAAUUCCUCGAUGCGUUGUCUCAAGACCUCCUCUCUCCCACGGUCAGAUUCACCAUGGUAGAUCCACCUGGUGUAGUCUGACGUAAAUCCGUUCUUCACCAGAUGUUUGCCCAUGUCUAGCUUGGUUUGCCGACGCAUGUUUCCACAUUUGCUGCACGGACACCAAGUCGAUCGAGCUCCAUUGACACUUGCAAACGCCGGUUCCAAGAAAGCAUCCGUCUUGUCAAG